UACGUAGGGGGCUAGCGUUGUCCGGAAUCAUUGGGCGUAAAGAGCGUGUAGGCGGUCCGGUAAGUCCGCUGUGAAAGUCGGGGGCUCAACCCUCGAAUGCCGGUGGAUACUGUCGGGCUAGAGUGCGGAAGAGGCGAGUGGAAUUCCUGGUGUAGCGGUGAAAUGCGCAGAUAUCGGGAAGAACACCCGUGGCGAAGGCGGCUCUCUGGGACGGUACUGACGCUGAGGUGCGAAAGCGUGGGGAGCAAACAGG
RNAcentral lists this ribosomal RNA (253 nucleotides) under uncultured bacterium. Its description in RNAcentral is "partial 16S ribosomal RNA". It matches the Rfam family "Bacterial small subunit ribosomal RNA", at positions 524 to 776 of the family's 1533-position model. The record is from RNAcentral.